GACGAACGCUGGCGGCGUGCCUAACACAUGCAAGUCGAGCGGGGUAGCCGGAAGGUGUAGCGAUACAGCGGAGGGGUACCUAGCGGCGAACGGGUGAGUAACGCGUGGGCAAUCUGCCCCCGGGGGCGGGAUAACAGACCGAAAGGCCUGCUAAUACCGCAUGAAGCCGUCCUAUCGCAUGAUAAGACGGUAAAAGGGGAAACCCGCCUGGGGAGGAGCCCGCGUCCCAUUAGCUAGUUGGUGGUGUAAAGGACCACCAAGGCGAUGAUGGGUAGCCGGCCUGAGAGGGUGACCGGCCACACUGGGACUGAGACACGGCCCAGACUCCUACGGGGGGGCAGCAGUGGGGGAUCUUGCACAAUGGGCGAAAGCCUGAUGCAGCGACGCCGCGUGAGCGAAGAAGGCCUUCGGUUGUAAAGCUCUGUCUGGAGGGACGAACAAAAUGACGGUACCUCCGGAGGAAGCCACGGCUAACUACGUGCCAGCAGCCGCGGUAAACGUAGCGUG
This 507-nucleotide ribosomal RNA is filed under the name uncultured bacterium. Its description in RNAcentral is "bacterial SSU rRNA". It matches the Rfam family "Bacterial small subunit ribosomal RNA", at positions 28 to 533 of the family's 1533-position model. The record is from RNAcentral.